AGCUUGUUUGUAGACGUAAAAGAACAAAUUAGCAAAAACUCUAGGUGAUGUAAACACGUAUAAAAACGUA
Regulatory RNA element from Terrisporobacter sp., 70 nucleotides. It matches the Rfam family "GP20-b RNA". NCBI's taxonomy places the organism in Bacteria, Bacillati, Bacillota, Clostridia, Peptostreptococcales, Peptostreptococcaceae. The record is from Rfam.